RNAcentral lists this non-coding RNA (31 nucleotides) under Mus musculus (house mouse). The record is from RNAcentral. Lineage: Eukaryota; Metazoa; Chordata; Mammalia; Rodentia; Muridae.
UACGAGACUGACAAGAUUGACCAUUUCAGCU